Molecule: ribosomal RNA, 301 nt
Filed under: uncultured bacterium
Lineage: Bacteria
Description: partial 16S ribosomal RNA
Rfam family: Bacterial small subunit ribosomal RNA
Source: RNAcentral
CAGUCGCCGCGGUAAUACGUAGGGGGCUAGCGUUGUUCGGAAUUACUGGGCGUAAAGCGCACGUAGGCGGAUCUUUAAGUCAGGGGUGAAAUCCCGAGGCUCAACCUCGGAACUGCCUUUGAUACUGGAGAUCUUGAGUUCGGAAGAGGUUGGUGGAACAGCUAGUGUAGAGGUGAAGUUCGUAGAUAUUAGCUAGAACACCAGUGGCGAAGGCGGCCAACUGGUCCGAUACUGACGCUGAGGUGCGAAAGCGUGGGGAGCAAACAGGAUUAGAUACCCCAGUAGUCCCUGUCUCUUAUAC